Molecule: ribosomal RNA, 250 nt
Filed under: uncultured bacterium
Lineage: Bacteria
Description: partial 16S ribosomal RNA
Rfam family: Bacterial small subunit ribosomal RNA
Source: RNAcentral
UACAGAGGUGGCAAGCGUUGUUCGGAAUUACUGGGCGUAAAGGGCGCGUAGGCGGUCACGUAAGUCCCGUGUGAAAUCCCUCGGCUUAACUGAGGAACUGCACGGGAUACUGUGUGACUUGAGUUCGGGAGAGGGAAGCGGAAUUCCGGGUGUAGCGGUGAAAUGCGUAGAUAUCCGGAGGAACACCGGUGGCGAAGGCGGCUUCCUGGACCGACACUGACGCUGAGGCGCGAAAGCUAGGGGAGCAAAC